GUGCCAGCGGCCGCGGUAAUACGGAGGGUGCAAGCGUUAUCCGGAUUCAUUGGGUUUAAAGGGUGCGCAGGCGGAUACUUAAGUCAGUGGUGAAAUCCCGGGGCUCAACCCCGGAACUGCCAUUGAUACUGAAUAUCUGGAAUACGGUUGAAGUGGGCGGAAUGUAGCAUGUAGCGGUGAAAUGCAUAGAGAUGCUACAGAACACCGAUCGCGAAGGCAGCUCACUAAGCCGAUAUUGACGCUCAGGCACGAAAGCGUGGGGAGCGAACAGGAUUAGAUACCCUGGUAGUCCACGCCGUAAACGAUGAUAACUCGUUGUUGGCGACACACAGUCAGCGACUAAGCGAAAGCGAUAAGUUAUCCACCUGGGGAGUACGAUCGCAAGGUUGAAACUCAAAUGAAUUGACGG
RNAcentral lists this ribosomal RNA (409 nucleotides) under uncultured bacterium. Its description in RNAcentral is "bacterial SSU rRNA". It matches the Rfam family "Bacterial small subunit ribosomal RNA", at positions 505 to 916 of the family's 1533-position model. The record is from RNAcentral.